GCAUGAGCCACCGUGCCCAGCCUCUGCUUUCUGUCUCUGUGAGUUUGACAACUCUAGGUGCCACAUCUGAGUGGAAUCGUACAGUCAUUUGUCCUCUUGCAACUGGCUUUCUUUCACUUUGCUUGAUAUCUUCAAGCCCCAUCUGUGUUGUAGCAUGCAUCAGAAUUUCCUUCCUUCUUAGGGCUGAUUACAGUCCCCAUUGUAUGGAUAGAGGACGUUUUCUUUGCUGUUCAUCCUUCAGGUAUGGAGAAUAUCUCGCAUAGUAGAAAGAAUCAAAGAAGCCUGUGAGGACUUCAUCUUGGCUGCUCAUACUCUGUGUACCUCCACCUUUUGUGGGGGUUGGGUGGACAACCUGAAGCUACCUGCUCAUCCUGCAUGGAGCAGAUCGGCCGGUGCUGGAAGCAGAGGAUGCAAACUGGAGCAGGAGACAGUUCCUGCCCUCAAGUGUGGCAGUGACAUGCCAUGUUAGUGCCAGCCUUUCUGGUGCUUUGUAAAGUGAAGAAAAGAGCUUGUAUCCAUCCUGAAGGCUUUGUGACCACCGGCCUUCUGAUGGAUGCUUCUGUGUUCCCAGAGUUAGGUGAGAGCUCUUGGAAGGAUCUCUUUGACCCCAGGUUCGCUAAGAAUGGAAAGCCCCUCUGUGAGACUGCAGUAGCUAGUGCGAUCAUCUGGUUACUUGCACCAGAGCCUGGGAGUUUGUGGCCUGCCAAGCUCACCUCUCAUACUGAGAUACCAAUAAAUAUUAUCCGAGGGUGACACCCAGAAAUAGAGUUUUAAAAAUAUUUAGAGAGAUGAAAAAUAGCCACCAGUAGAAUUAAAAUCAGAAAUAACGACAAGGUUGGUCAGCGGAGUUGGUAAGUCCAAAUUGGGGAAUGUGAUGUUUCAUUAUAAGCUCUUUCAGCAUUUGCUUACUUUGGUGUAAGUGAAAGAAUUGUCUCAUUUUUUUUGAGAGAAGGACUCACCAUCUGUCAGACACACUGGUCAGUUUACCUGACAAGGCAGAGUUGGAGGCUUCUGUCCUCAGUGGCUGCCCCUAGGUGAUGAUGGCUCUGUGGGUGCCCACCAUGGCCCACUGGAAGUGUGAGAGCGCAGGGAGCAACAUGUUGGACCACAGGGUGAGGCCAGGCCCUGUCUCCCACGGCCAGGAGCGAGGACGUGGAGCUGCCCUAGGAGGGCUGUGUGCCCGAGUGCCAGGAGCUGGCUGCCCCGUGGCCAGAGAUCCUCAUGCCCGAGGAGCAGGAGUGCCACUACCUCAGCCUUGAUGGGGACUCCAGCUUCGACUAUGUGAAUAACACCUCUGAGGAGAAGGACUACGACAAGAGCCUGCCUGAGGAAGAGGGCAUCACCUAUAUAUCUGCUACCGCCCCGAGGAUGACAGCUACCUGGAGGGCAUGGACUACAACUGGGAGGUGUACCUGGCCCACGGCAUGCAUCCUGUGGACACCGACGAGUGCCAGGAGGCGGUGGAGGAGUGGGUAGAGGGCAGACCCGGCGGACCUGCACCCUUACGGCCAUGGGGCUGUGGGAAGCCAGGAUUACCCGGACGGCCACCUGCCCAUCCUGGAGGAUGAGCCCUCUGUCCUGGAGGCCCAUGACCAGGAAGAAGAUGGCCACUACUGUCCCAGCAAAUAGGGCUACCAGGAUUGCUACCCCCUGGAGGCCAAUGGGAACACCAGUGCCUCCCUCUACCACCUGAGGUGUGGGGUUGGGGACGUGGAGGACCAGGAGGAGGACAUCAACCAGAUCGUGGCCGAGAUCAACAUGAGCCUGAGCAUGACCAGCAUCACUAGCACCAGCGAGGCCAGUGAUUCUGCAGAGGCCAGCCUGCCUGCCCAGCAAGACCAGCUGCAGCCCCAGCAGGCACAAAACGAGGCCCAAGUCACUGAACCUCCCUCCUGAGGCAAAGAACCGUAGAGACCCUCAGAGAGGCUUCAAGCCCAAGAUCAGGACCCCAGAGGAGAUGCUGAAGUGGCCCCACAAGCAGGUAGGACUCUGGCUGUCUCAGGGAAGGGAGCAGAGGGGCCCAAGAGCAAGAAAUGUCCCGGUACAGCCCCCACAUAUGCUGAAGUGAGGCGGUGGGAGGGGUUGUGUGCCUUGCAGUUUUUUUUUUUUUGUUUUUUGUUUUUGUUUUUGCCUUGCGGUUCUAAUGGUGGAUGAGCUCUUCAUUGGUCCAGUUGCCAGGCAUGUUGUGUGCAUGUUCCGGCCACUCUUAUGCUCACCCCUCAGACUCAGGAGUAGAGUCUUGUUGAAGACUGAUUGGCAACUAGUUUUUGGCAGAAGAUGCCUCUCCUCCCACCUAGAAGUGGUUCGAUAUCUUCCCCACUGCCCUGGAUCUGCUUGUGGUGGGGCAGUGUCUGUGGGAGAGCCCCUCAAUCCUCAGGGGUGUACUUGUUCCAGCGAGGCAGUGGCAAAGAUAUGGCCAGUGGUGGGUGGCCUGGUGGCUGGGGUGGGGCCUGGAGUGUAUUUCGUAGUGGAUAGGUCUCUGAAAGCCCAGGGACCUUGGCCUGAAGGGCAGUUAGCUGUGAAUAACUAUUUGGAAAAGGAUCCUGCAGAUCUGAUCUUACAGCAUUGUUGCAUAGGUGUAUACAUGCCAUGGUGGUUUGCUGCCUCCAUCUCCCUGUCACCAACAUUAGGUAUUUCUCCUAAUGUUAUUGCUCCCCAAUCCCCCCACCCCCUGCU
Long non-coding RNA from Sapajus apella (tufted capuchin), 2676 nucleotides. RefSeq lists it as uncharacterized. The transcript has 3 exons. The record is from RefSeq and is a predicted model, not a curated record. NCBI's taxonomy places the organism in Eukaryota, Metazoa, Chordata, Mammalia, Primates, Cebidae.